GCCCGAGUGGCGGAAUGGUAGACGCAGAGGAUUCAAAAUCCUCCGCCGCAAGGCUUGCGAGUUCGAGUCUCGCCUCGGGCACCA
This 84-nucleotide transfer RNA is filed under the name Rhodobacter sp. RNAcentral describes it as "tRNA-Leu". It matches the Rfam family "tRNA". Rfam says of the family: Transfer RNA (tRNA) molecules are approximately 80 nucleotides in length. Their secondary structure includes four short double-helical elements and three loops (D, anti-codon, and T loops). Lineage: Bacteria; Pseudomonadati; Pseudomonadota; Alphaproteobacteria; Rhodobacterales. RNAcentral also lists the same sequence under 5 other names. The record is from RNAcentral.